GUUCCACCUCUUCCCAUUCCGAACAGAGAAGUUAAGCCUUGUCACGCCGAUGGUACUGCGUCACAGUGGGAGAGUAGGUAGCCGCCGUUU
Molecule: ribosomal RNA, 90 nt
Filed under: Phocaeicola vulgatus
Lineage: Bacteria; Pseudomonadati; Bacteroidota; Bacteroidia; Bacteroidales; Bacteroidaceae
Also listed under: 1 other name
Source: RNAcentral